Long non-coding RNA from Hyla sarda, 494 nucleotides. RefSeq lists it as uncharacterized. The record is from RefSeq and is a predicted model, not a curated record. Lineage: Eukaryota; Metazoa; Chordata; Amphibia; Anura; Hylidae. The transcript is spliced from 3 exons.
UCAUCGUUAGGCGUCUGGACGGUGAACCUGCGAUGGUGUCGAAUAACGCGCUCUGAUUGGACGACCUGAAGAUAUCGGACAGCGCAGCCUUUGGAUCUGGAAAUGACGCUUUCUUCUCUGAUUUUAUUAUUCCUCACCGACGUAAUAAAAGCCAUCGGGGUCUCUUCGGGCCAGAACUGUUUCUCUUCUGAUGAUCGGGGUCAGACAUGGAAAUGUGGGGGACACCGUCAUCUUCCUACACAUCACACUGGUGUAAUGGGGAUAGUGACCGCUCAGUGAACAUCUAUAGAAGCUUGAAAAGUAACAAAUCCUCAGAUCAGGCAGCAGGUGGCGCCAUGUGACGGGUCAGCACCAUGUGACGGGUCAGCACCAUGUGACGGGUCAGCACCAUGUGACGGGUCAGCACCAUGUGAUGGCUGUAAUUGUAACAUCCUAAUGACAUUUAAUCCUCUGUGUAAUGAAUGGGGGCUUCCAAUCCCUCCUGUAGAUAUUAA